This 74-nucleotide transfer RNA is filed under the name Helianthus annuus (common sunflower). RNAcentral's name for it is "tRNA HanXRQr2_Chr17g0825341". Lineage: Eukaryota; Viridiplantae; Streptophyta; Magnoliopsida; Asterales; Asteraceae. The record is from RNAcentral.
GAUUUCUUAACCCGGAGUGGUAAGUAUUCCCGCCUGUCACGCGGGUGACCCGGGUUCGAUCCCCGGCAACAACG